Molecule: ribosomal RNA, 497 nt
Filed under: uncultured bacterium
Lineage: Bacteria
Description: partial 16S ribosomal RNA
Rfam family: Bacterial small subunit ribosomal RNA
Source: RNAcentral
GAUGAACGCUGGCGGCGUGCCUAAUACAUGCAAGUCGAGCGAACAGACGAGUAGCUUGCUCCUCUGACGUUAGCGGCGGACGGGUGAGUAACACGUGGAUAACCUACCUAUAAGACUGGGAUAACUUCGGGAAACCGGAGCUAAUACCGGAUAAUAUAUUGAACCGCAUGGUUCAAUAGUGAAAGACGGUUUUGCUGUCACUUAUAGAUGGAUCCGCGCUGCAUUAGCUAGUUGGUAAGGUAACGGCUUACCAAGGCAACGAUGCGUAGCCGACCUGAGAGGGUGAUCGGCCACACUGGAACUGAGACACGGUCCAGACUCCUACGGGAGGCAGCAGUAGGGAAUCUUCCGCAAUGGGCGAAAGCCUGACGGAGCAACGCCGCGUGAGUGAUGAAGGUCUUCGGAUCGUAAAACUCUGUUAUUAGGGAAGAACAAAUGUGUAAGUAACUAUGCACGUCUUGACGGUACCUAAUCAGAAAGCCACGGCUAACUACGUG